GACUACUGCUAUUGGGAUUCGACUAAGCCAUGCGAGUCAAGGUGUCUUCGGACGCCGGCGUACGGCUCAGUAACACGUAGGUAACCUACCCUCAGGACUGAGAUAACCCCGGGAAACUGGGGCUAAUAUUAGAUAGAUAAAAGGUACUGGAAUGUUCUUUUAUCCAAAGCUUUUGCGCCUGAGGAUGGGCCUGCGUCCGAUUAGGUUGUUGGUGGGGUAAUGGCCCACCAAGCCUGCGAUCGGUACGGGCAGUGAGAGCUGAAGCCCGGAGUUGGGGACUGAGACAAGGCCCCAGGCCCUACGGGGCGCAGCAGGCGCGAAACCUCUGCAAUGCGGGAAACCGUGACAGGGGGAUCCCAAGUGCUCAUGCAUUGCAUGGGCUGUUCUUUGGUCUAAGUAACCAGAGGAGUAAGGGCUGGGCAAGACCGGUGC
This 432-nucleotide ribosomal RNA is filed under the name uncultured archaeon. RNAcentral describes it as "bacterial SSU rRNA". It matches the Rfam family "Archaeal small subunit ribosomal RNA", at positions 22 to 458 of the family's 1478-position model. The record is from RNAcentral.